ACAUUGCAAUCAUGGGUUAUUCUCUUUUGCUCCUGAAUAUUGUGAGGGGAAGACGUAUACUGGUGCUGGCUCCCUUUUAUAGCCCUUCACUGCGGAGAAACGAAUCUUCGGCUUUCUUGAAGAGUUUACGCAACUCAUCCCAUCAACCCUGUCCAUUGGAUAACGGCCUCCAUAUUUAAAUCGACUUAUAUGAACGCUAUGCAGGAAUGAUCAUAUAGGGAAUGCUAUCCUGAAUUAAUUAUUGUUCUCCGGCAAUACGCGGUUUGAUAGCAACGUUCCAUAUUCAUUGAUGAGCGGACAAUCUUCUUCUUCUUUAUAAACGACCGGUCUUAUUAAUGUAAAUCGUAGUGGUCCCUUAAGUAUAUUACAUUUGUUAUUUGAUUAUCUGUAAAAGUAUAUCUCAUGCCUUAGCUUUAUCCACCCUUCGGAUAAGCAGAUUAAAGGUGAAACAGUAAAUCAA
This 460-nucleotide long non-coding RNA is filed under the name Strongylocentrotus purpuratus (purple sea urchin). RNAcentral describes it as "uncharacterized LOC115922583". Lineage: Eukaryota; Metazoa; Echinodermata; Echinoidea; Camarodonta; Strongylocentrotidae. The record is from RNAcentral.